UGGGGAAUAUUGCACAAUGGGCGCAAGCCUGAUGCAGCGACGCCGCGUGAGGGAUGACGGCCUUCGGGUUGUAAACCUCUUUCAGCUCCGACGAAGCGCAAGUGACGGUAGGGGUAGAAGAAGGACCGGCCAACUACGUGCCAGCAGCCGCGGUAAUACGUAGGGUCCGAGUGUUGUCCGGAAUUACUGGGCGUAAAGAGCUCGUAGGUGGUUUGUCGCGUUGUUCGUGAAAACUCACAGCUCAACUGUGGGCGUGCGGGCGAUACGGGCAGACUUGAGUACUGCAGGGGAGACUGGAAUUCCUGGUGUAGCGGUGGAAUGCGCAGAUAUCAGGAGGAACACCGGUGGCGAAGGCGGGUCUCUGGGCAGUAACUGACGCUGAGGAGCGAAAGCGUGGGGAGCGGAACAGGAUUAGAUACCCUGGUAGUCCACGCCGUAAACGGUGGGUACUAGGUGUGGGUUUCCUUCCUUGGGAUCCGUGCCGUAGCUAACGCAUUAAGUA
Molecule: ribosomal RNA, 502 nt
Filed under: uncultured Actinomycetes bacterium
Lineage: Bacteria; Bacillati; Actinomycetota; Actinomycetes
Description: bacterial SSU rRNA
Rfam family: Bacterial small subunit ribosomal RNA
Source: RNAcentral